GCGGAGGCGUGGGCGUACACUGAGGGGACCGCCCUCGAAAGCGGGUAGGCCCGCAAGGGUCUCGUGGGUUCAAAUCCCACUCCCUCCGCCCCA
This 93-nucleotide transfer RNA is filed under the name Actinomycetota bacterium. Its description in RNAcentral is "tRNA-OTHER". Lineage: Bacteria; Bacillati; Actinomycetota. The record is from RNAcentral.